Long non-coding RNA from Toxorhynchites rutilus septentrionalis, 762 nucleotides. RefSeq lists it as uncharacterized. The record is from RefSeq and is a predicted model, not a curated record. The transcript has 3 exons. NCBI's taxonomy places the organism in Eukaryota, Metazoa, Arthropoda, Insecta, Diptera, Culicidae.
UACAGAUUUGUGUGAUUUCGAUAGCCUUUCCUCAAAACGAUUUUAAGGCAUAAAGUCUUGAAAAAAAUGUCAUGUUAGAAUAUUCUACAAAAUACAAUACUUCCCCUCCAAGAAUCCUAGUCCACCGUGACUGGUUCUCGUUGACAUGAGGGAGAUCACAACAAACGCGAGCUGGCUCCUCUCUUUCAGAUUCACUGAUUGUCAUGAUCGUCAUGUCAGCCGACAAAGAGCUUACACCCCAGUAGAGAUGCACAAAUGAUGUGACGCAAAAAUACAGAAGCACUGUCCACUAGACGGUAUGCAAAUCGAUGCGGUGUCUCCACUGAACAAAAUUGUACCACUGUGCGCGAUAUCUAUGUGACAUCAUCAUUGAGGAAGACUGCAGACUGCUAGCUGGAUCAAGAGUGUGACAUGAAUGGUGAUGAUGAAUGAUGUUUUGAGGUUUCAAAGUUUUCCAGUUCAAUCGUAUCUAGCUUCAAGGCGAGCUUAAAAAACAAACUAAACUCACGGUCUUCAUUAUGGUCGUAUAGAAAGCCUAGCUGCCCGUGAAUCGCUGGCUGGAUGACUAAUGUACCGUGAAUGCUGUGAUAUGAAAUCCCGAAUUGAAAAUAGGCGGAGCUUGAAAUGCCGAACGAACGCUGCAUUUUCAUUUCGAGCGAGCGAUUCACGCGUGCCGAAUUCGCAGUGGUAUAUGAAUAAUGUACCUUGUUGAUACAUUAGUUGCUCUUUAUUGACUGCACGGAUAGGUAAGUACGCAAAUGA